UGGCAUAUGGAAUUUCCAGGCUAGGGGUUGAAUCAGAGCUGCAGCUGCCAGCCUGCACACCACAGCCAUAGCACAAUGCCAGAUCCGAUCCUCGUCUUCGACCUACACCACAGAUCACGGCAACGCUGGACCCUUAACCCACGGAGCGAAGCCAGGGAUUGAACCCACUUCCUCAUGGAUACUAGUCUGGUUCAUUUCUACUGAGUCACAGCGGGAACUCCAACAACUCAGAAAAUGUUAAUGUGAUUUUGUUAGUGAGGUAUCACACUAGACUGAUUUUAAUUUGUUAUCUUAUAGACUUUAUGUCUGAAUUUAUUUUAUUUUUUUGGCCAUGCCCACAGCAUGCAGUAGUUCAUGGGGCAGGGAUCGAACCCAUUCUACUGCAGUAACCAGAGCUCUGCAGUGACAAUGCUGGAUCCUUAAUCCGCUGAGCCACAAGGUAACUCCUUUAUAUUUUUUGAAAUAAAUUUUAUUGGAGUAUAGGUGACCCACAAUGCUGUGUUAGUUUCAGGUGUACACCAAAGCAAAUCAGCCACACCCAUAUGUAUAUAUCCAUUCCUUUUCAGAUUCUUUCCCCAUAUAGGCCAUCACAGAGCACUGAAUGGAUUUCCCCAAGCUAUACAGCAGGUCCCUGUUACCAAUCGAUUUUGUAUAUAGUUGUGUGUACAUGCCAAUCCCAGCCUCCCAAUGCAUCCCUCCACCCAGCAUUUCCUCUUGCAUAACCAUAAGUCUGGUCUUGAAAUCGCUGAGACUGUUUCUGUCCUGCGAAUAAGUCUCUUUGUGUCUUUUUUUAUUAGACUCCACACAUGAGUGAUCUCACAUAAUACCCGUCUUUCUCUGUCUGACUUACUUCACCCAAGACGACUAUCUCUAGGUCCAUCCAUGUUGCUGCAGAUGGCACUAUUUCACUCCUUUUUAUGGCUUAUUGGAUUUAUUUUUACCCUAGAGUUUGCUGAAACUUUGCUGUGAAAAAUGGACUCAGAUGUCUCGGGCAUACAAAGUGGUGGUUGGAAAGGCACCGAUUUAACUAGGCAGGACUGUGCUCCGUCAUUAUAAAGUUGGAACGUAUUCCUGAAGUGCCUUCUCUUAAUCCUUGGCAUUUUUGUCCUUCAGCUAGACACAGCUACAGGGCAGGCAGCUCAAUUUCGAGAGAUUAGACUGCAAGCCUGGGUAGAGAGUGCUCUCCCAGUUUGCAGGGUCUGUGGAAAGAGCUCCGCCUCAUGCUAGAUGCCCAAGGGUAUGGGGGCUCUUUGUAAAACAAAGCAGGAAACAAGCAUUUCUGAAGAAGCAAACAAACAUUCUGUUUCAAAUUCAGAACUAAAAAAGGAAAUUUGUUUAUUGAGGGUAAGAGGAUGCAAGCAAUAUAAAAAUCAAAAGCUUAUCUGGGCUUAAUUGACUUGUCUUUCUCUGCUUCUCAAAGCAGAGUUGGGUUUUAUUUGUACACUUUCUAAGGGUCCCAGUCUGCUCAGGAAAUCCUUAUACAGGGAGAAGCUGGGGGGGCAGAUUCCUUAAGCGACCCUUUGUGAGAAUUCUUAUCAGGGCGGCAUGAUUGCUCAGUGCUGCCUACUUCUUUCCCUUCUGCUUCAUGUGUACAACAAAAUAGUCAUUGCAUGCGAUGGUGAGCCCAGCGAUUAGCGAAAAGAAGCUCUGGAAGCCCACUUUCCCAUCUCGGCACUGGUCCAGGUCCUUCAUUAUUUUGUCCACAGCCAGAGGGUCUUUUUGAUUCUGAAAAAAAAAAAAAAAGAACAGAGGCAAGUAGUAUCAAUCAGUGGUUGCAACAAUGAGCUUCUUGUGAUGUGUAUGGCUGACAACUAUAUAUAAAAUCUAAUGAUUUGAAAUCUUGCUUUAGGUCAUAAGUGAUUUUUGGAGGUCAUCUAAAUGUAUGUUUUCCCUUUGAGGGAGCAUUUCUGUAAAUUCAUAUUUAUUUCAGGCUAGGAGAGAGGGUUUCAUGGCUUUCUUUUAAAUAACUCAGGGACUUUAGAAACAGCAUAUUUCUAGAAAGAGGAGGUUCAAUGCCAGAGAAGGGAGACCCCCCCCCAACUUUGAAUUCUCAGUCCUCUUAGAAUCCAGCAUAGUCUUCUGAUUUGCUUUCCUUAUAGUCCAAUUGUUAAUACAGUUUUCAAAAUAAUAAGAUUCUGCCUAAGCAGUACUCCAAACUCCCUAUUUUGUAGUUUAAAGUCUCUUAACAAACUUUUAUUUCCAAUAGCAUGAUCAAGUCCUUGACAAAGAAAACUCCUUAUAAAAGACCUCAUGUGAUUAUUUAGAGAGUUAAGUUUUAGAUCAUUGUUCUGUGGGUUUUAAAGAGGCGCUUGUGAUACCAUGGGGCGUGUUAGGUUUAAAGAGGGUAGGCAGAUGGUCGUCAUUUCUUGGCACAUCUGAGGCCAACCUAGUGUGGCUUCACAUCACAUUAGCCAGGUGACCUUAAGUAAGUCACAUGGCUUUGGUGGGCCUUUGUAUAACAGCUAAGAAUUGAAGUAGGACCAGAGUGUCUCUAAGAUUGCUUCUAUUCUUAAUGCGUUGGCCCGUCUAUGCCAUCCUGUACUCUUUGCUGGAUGUUUUUACAUUGAAUGUACUUCAAAAGCAAUAUAUGUAAUGGAAUCCUAAACUCCCCAUGACUCUUAAUGCCAGUGCAUGGAACUGGGAUGGACAGGCAAGAUCCCCUUUGUUUUUUCUUUUAUCCUGCUUUCAUUGUGAUUGACUUGAUCGCUCCUUUCUGUAGUGAUGGUGCUUAGAAGUGGGAAAGGGUGGUUUCUCCUGCAGGGUCCAUGCCGUCAACCAGAAGGAGAUAUGGCCCUUUACCGGUGUUAAAGGGCUCAGGUAAAGUAUUUAUGAAUUCCACGGACUCGUAUAUGUGAGGGAGGGAACAGACACUCAGUGUCUCCAGUGUGCUGGAUGUUUAUAAACUGCACUCAGAAAUCCCUUAAGGUGAAGCAGCAGCAUUUCCCACAUGCCCUAAGAAAUCAACUCCAACCUGUCUGUACAGCUGCCUCUGCUUUUGGUGGGUUUCAGUUAAUUCUGGCCUCGACCCCAGUUUCCUGGCUGAGAUCAGAAGGAGUGAAAUCUGGAUGACAUAAUGCUCUGUCAGUGCAGCGAGUGUGGGUGUGCCUGGAAUUAUGACCCCAUCCUUGAAUAAAUUAAACUGCCAUGUUUAGUACUCGUUGCUGAACACUUGAAUUUAUCAAGCCACAGAGCCUUUAGGAGGAAGGGUCUUUGUCUCAUGUGAUGGUCAUCCUGGCUUCUAACUCCUGAGUAUUUAGGAAUAGACCCAGAGUGCCUUUGUUUGUGUGGUGGGAAGCUUUACAAUAAGCACAUUUUGUCCUUGAAUUUUAUGCCUGCCUGGAAGGGUCACAGAACAUGAAAGUGAUCUUGGAGGUAAUCACGUCCAGCCCUCUCAUUUUACAGAGGAGGGAACUGAGGCCCAGAAAACUGAAGCAACCUGCCUGGUAUUAGUUCGGGCAGAGCCAGAUCAUCUAAUUCCUGGUCUGGGGCUAUAUCACAGAACUCAACAAAAGCAGAGCAACAGUAUCCUCGAACUCAUUCUGGGAGAGCAUUGUGGUAACUGCAGCUCUGAGAAGCUAGUUAAGCUAUUUAUAUCUGUUUGACUGGUACUGAUGACAUGCGAAUCAUUAUGUACUACAAAACCCUAUGUUUACUGAGUCAGGAGUCAGAGGCUUGACUAAUGCCAUUUACCAGGCAGAUGACAAGAGAAAGGACCCUGCCUUUAACCAUCACCUCCCUCCACCCUUUAGAGGUAAUGCAAUAUUCCACACCAAGCACAGUGAUGCUUCAAGCACCUCUGACUGUGGCAGCGAGAGAAGGGCUUGCAUUUCAAUCUACUAUUUUGUUAGGCAAUGUUUCACUUUCAGUGAAAUGCAGUAACCAUCUCUCCAGGGCCUGCAGUAUAAAAGAACUACUGUGCUUUGUGGCCUGAUGUCCUGAAUGAUGUAUCUGAGCUGAUGGGAGAUCCUCUUCCUUCACUGAUCCCUCUCAGGCUGUCAAAGGUGAGGCAUAAACCCAAACUGUUCUCCUAUGUUCACACAGCCUUUUCAGUGGGAAAAGCAGUUAUUUCUUGAGCAAUGCCUGGCUCUCAUUUAGUAAAUUUCACACCAUUCCCUUAUAGUAGAGCUCGAAAAAAGAAUUUUAAAGCCUUUAUCUGAAGGGAUUUAAGAAAGGAGAUUCAAGCUGCUCAAAGGACAGCCUGAGGACAGCCAGGCACCCUGGUUGAUUACUCCCUGGUGCAAGGCCUUUUUUCCUGCAACUCUGUCUCUAUGGAGGCAGAUGACUCCAGAUAGAGUCGCUCUAACACCUCAAACUGUGGUGAUUUGUGUGUAGUCUCAUUUCACCUCCAAACUGAAAGCUCCUUGAGGGCAGAGGCAGUGUCUUCUUUACUUUCUGUUUCCAACCCCACUGUCUUACAAACAGUAGGCACUCAGUAUAUUUAAUCAAUAAAUGAAUGAAAACACCUUUCUAGCACUGACUUCCCCCGGGAAGGGCUGGAAAGAGGAAGGGACAGGAACCAGGGCCCAGAAGCACUGAUUUCUAUCUCUGGUUCUCUCUGAGCCUUUCAAUACUUACUUCCAAAAAUCCCGGGAACUCCUUUUCCAUGAGUACUCUCAGGUCCUCCUUUGUUAGGUAGCCUUUAUCCCCAGCAAAUUUGUGAAAUGUGAACAUCAUGGUUUCCAUGGCAUGUUCCAUUUGAGACGGCAUUUUCGUGAGGUCUGUUGAAACCUAUUAAAGGAUGUGAAGCGACAGAAUUUACAUUUUUUCCCCCUUUUUUGGCUGCCCUGUGGUAUAUGGAGUUCCCAGGCCAGGGAUCAGAUCUGAGCUAUAGCUGCCACCUAAGCCACAACUGAGGCAACACCAGAUCCUUAACCUACUGUGCCAAGCCCAGGAACGAACCUACAUCCCAGAGCUCCCAAGAUGCAGCUUAUCCCAUUGCACCACAGCGGGAACUCCUACAUUAACUUUUAAACCACAUGAUUUACCAGUCUUUUGAGAAUGAUUGGAAGAGGGCAAUUUGCUCAUCCAGUCCAUCCUUUUUAACUGUAAAAUUCAAUGAAUACAUCAGGACCAGUUCAUCCCAGGUUUGGGGUCUCCUGCUGAUGGAAAUAGGCACUUUAGGUACUGCUGCUCUGAAGGAGGGAUUGAUCUAGUUGCCUGUUAACUGCACAAAUCACCCAAUGAAGAAUAAAAAUUCUAACCAUUUGGAAAAGCAAGAUCAGUGCCCCUCUUUUUAACUGACAAAGCUCCUACUGAGAGAUGUUUCAUCAUUUCUCUUGGCACCGGUAAAUGGGACUCAGAUAUAGCUGAAUACCAACAACUCGCACAGUCAAGCUUGGUUAAUACGAAAACUUCAAUUCUCCAAAAGCUGAAUUAAGUAACUUGGUUUAGUUUAAGUCUAUGCUUAAGAAAUCUGCUUACAAAUGACUUUCAUAUGCUGAGUAUGUAUUCUUUACUAAAAGUUCUGAACUUGCUAUAGAUUCUAACAAACAUCUGCAUCUUUGGUAGUAAGUUGCAGUUGCCCUCCUCAAAUAAAGCUACCCAAAGCCCAUUAUCUACUUUCUUGAAAAAGAACAGGUAAUAGUAUAUCCAUCCUAAUUCCUUUGGGGAUCUGAUAUAUCCUUGGCAGCACUAGACAAAAGACCUACUCUCACCGUCUGGGGUGCAGUGGGAGAGCAAGAGCUUUUCAUUGUGAAUAGUUAAAGAAAGGAGUUCUUUUGUGGUGCAGUGGGUUAAGGAUCUGGCAUUGCCACUACUGCAGUUUGGGUUUGAUCCCUGGCCUGGGGGCUUCCAUAUGCCAGGGAUGCGGCCUAAAUAAAUAAAUUAAUUAAAUAAAAAGAUAAAGGAGAUGUCAGAUUGUUAUAUUCAGGUAUAAUAAUCUGAGGACAUGUGUCUAAUCAAGACAUACACUUGGUACCCAACAGGAGCCCACUGAAUUUUGCUUAAUUGGAAGGCAGGCUUUGGCCAGAACAGAGUAGCUUUAGUUAACAGCACCUAAAAUCACUCCUGGAUAAGAAACAGAUGAACUUGAAUAGAGACUGUAAUAUAUACCGUGGGAAAAAAAAAAGAUAAGAAUAGGUUUUGAACAGAGGUUGAAGGAAAGUCUGGCAUCUUCCCCUGAAGGGUUGAUACAGGAACCAGAGACGUGGUUUCAGCCUGGUUUCUGCUGCUGACAUAUGCGUGUGUAACAUAUCCCUGAAUACUAUCUUUUAUGGGGGAAGAGGGUGGAGUUGGUGAACACAAGGAUUGAGCAAGUACAUGUCAAAAGUUCUACCCCUUAAUCCCCAGAAAAGUACAGGAAUCAGCAUGCCAAAGAAUGUGCUACUCUAGAGAAUGUUAUAAACCAGAAUCUGGCAUGAUUCAUCUGGAAGGCAGGUCUCUUGGAGAGAGCAAAAAAUUCAAGGUCCACUGUGGGAUGAAUUCCAGGGGAACCACACCUUUUCUCCUUUCUUCUGACACAGUCAGGAUCUGGCUUCAGAUGGCAGUGGGCUUCAGAUGGCAGUGGCC
RNAcentral lists this long non-coding RNA (6507 nucleotides) under Sus scrofa (pig). Its description in RNAcentral is "lncRNA (ENSSSCG00035054103.1)". The record is from RNAcentral. Lineage: Eukaryota; Metazoa; Chordata; Mammalia; Artiodactyla; Suidae.